Non-coding RNA from Corylus avellana, 105 nucleotides. Lineage: Eukaryota; Viridiplantae; Streptophyta; Magnoliopsida; Fagales; Betulaceae. The record is from RefSeq and is a predicted model, not a curated record.
AUUCGUGUGGAGGGCAUUUAAUCAACAACUCCUUGAAUCGCUCCCAACUCUCAUAGAACUGCUCAUCCUCCUCUUGAGUGAAAGCACUUAUUUCCUUUCUAUACU